This 601-nucleotide ribosomal RNA is filed under the name uncultured archaeon. Its description in RNAcentral is "bacterial SSU rRNA". It matches the Rfam family "Archaeal small subunit ribosomal RNA", at positions 319 to 923 of the family's 1478-position model. The record is from RNAcentral.
UCCCUAUGGGGUGCAGCAGGCGCGAAACCUCUGCAAUAGGCGAAAGCCUGACAGGGUUACUCUGAGUGACUUUCGCUAAGAAAGUCUUUUGGCACCUCUAAAAAGGGUGCAGAAUAAGGGGUGGGCAAGUCUGGUGUCAGCCGCCGCGGUAAUACCAGCACCCCGAGUGGUCGGGACGAUUAUUGGGCCUAAAGCAUCCGUAGCCGGUUCUGCAAGUCCCCCGUUAAAUCCAGCUGCUCAACAGAUGGGCUGCGGAAGAUACUAUGGAGCUAGGAGGCGGGAGAGGCAAGCGGUACUCGAUGGGUAGGGGUAAAAUCCGUUGAUCCAUUGAAGACCACCAGUGGCGAAGGCGUCCGGCUAGAACGGGUCUGACGGUGAGGGACGAAAGCUGGGGGAGCGAACCGGAUUAGAUACCCGGGUAGUCCCAGCCGUAAACGAUGCGGGCUAGGUGUUGGGAUGGCUACGUGCCAUUUCAGUGCCGCAGGGAAGCCAUUAAGCCUGCCGCCUGGGGAGUACGGCCGCAAGGCUGAAACUUAAAGGAAUUGGCGGGGGAGCACCACAAGGUGUGAAGCCUGCGGUUUAAUUGGAUUCAACGCCGGAA